This 460-nucleotide ribosomal RNA is filed under the name uncultured bacterium. Its description in RNAcentral is "partial 16S ribosomal RNA". It matches the Rfam family "Bacterial small subunit ribosomal RNA", at positions 338 to 795 of the family's 1533-position model. The record is from RNAcentral.
CCUACGGGCGGCAGCAGUGAGGAAUAUUGGUCAAUGGACGAGAGUCUGAACCAGCCAAGUAGCGUGAAGGAUGACUGCCCUAUGGGUUGUAAACUUCUUUUAUAUGGGAAUAAAACGUUCCACGUGUGGGAUUUUGUAUGUACCAUAUGAAUAAGGAUCGGCUAACUCCGUGCCAGCAGCCGCGGUAAUACGGGGGAUCCGAGCGUUAUCCGGAUUUAUUGGGUUUAAAGGGAGCGUAGGUGGAUUGUUAAGUCAGUUGUGAAAGUUUGCGGCUCAACCGUAAAAUUGCAGUUGAAACUGGCAGUCUUGAGUACAGUAGAGGUGGGCGGAAUUCGUGGUGUAGCGGUGAAAUGCUUAGAUAUCACGAAGAACUCCGAUUGCGAAGGCAGUUCACUGGACUGCAACUGACACUGAGGCUCGAAAGUGUGGGUAUCAAACAGGAUUAGAUACCCCUGUAGUC